Cynara cardunculus var. scolymus (artichoke) is the source of this 2222-nucleotide RNA transcript. It is a transcript of the gene named protein WHAT'S THIS FACTOR 1 homolog, with no coding region annotated. The record is from RefSeq and is a predicted model, not a curated record. The transcript is spliced from 4 exons. NCBI's taxonomy places the organism in Eukaryota, Viridiplantae, Streptophyta, Magnoliopsida, Asterales, Asteraceae.
CAUCUAACGGACCACCGUCCUUGUUUGCUUUUUGGGGCCGGCCCAUGGGCGGCAAUCACGGUCGUCCACGCCCUACCGCCUCCUUCCUUGUCCAACGUUCACGGCUACAGUCACGUUCUUGGCACUUGCUGACGCAGGAAUCGUUUCAAUCAGAGUAUACCAAUUGAUCAACGAGCAGUAGUUAGGGCAUUUUUGAACCAGAAGAUUCAGAUCCCGUCAAGGAACUGUUUCAAUCAGAGCUUUCUGAUCAAAGGUAUGUUCUUCCAAAGCCACACUAUCUGUUCUUGUUUCAAUGCAUCUAGGAACUCGAUUGGGAUUAGGGUUUGGUAUCAAUUUACAGCUUCAAUUUCUAGUUUAAAAGUAGUUUGGCGAAAAGACCAAAAGCUAGAUCAAGCAAUUCAGAACGAUAAAUCAUGGAGACAAUGUGCAAAGGUUGUUAAAGAGGUGUUAAAUGAACCUGGUCAAGUAAUCCCUCUUCGGUAUUUGGAGAAACGUCGUGAAAGAUUACGACUUCCAAUCAAAAUCCAAACAUUUUUAUCUCGAAAUCCGGGGCUUUUCGAUGUGUAUUAUGAUCGAAUCAAACCCAAGACUGAACCUGUUAAGUUUCUAAGGUUUAGUGAUCGGCUCCAACGAGUUUUAGACGAGGAGGAAAGGAUUUAUCUCGAAAAUGAGCCGUUGAUUGUUGCUAAGUUGUGUAAACUAUUGAUGAUGGCCAAGAACAAUGUAGUUAAUGCCGAGAAAUUGGUUCAUGUGAAGAGGGAAUUCGGAUUUCCUAAUGAUUUAAUGGUGAAUUUGAUUCCCAAAUAUCCCGAGCAUUUCAAAUUAAUCGGGUCUCCUGGAGAAGGAAAUUCAUUUUUGGAGCUGGUUUCUUGGAACCCUAUAUUUGCAAAAUCAGUGAUCGAACAAAGGGCUGAUGAAGAAUCGGAGUUAACAGGUAUAAAGAUCCGACCAUCUUUCAAUUGGAAGCUUCCAAAAGGUUUUCUUAUUAGAAAAGAAAUGAGGGAAUGGAUUCGAGAUUGGAUGGAACUUCCUUACAUUUCACCAUAUGAUGAUGCAUCAAAUUUCGAUCAAGCAUCUCAAGAGAUGGAGAAGAGGACGGUGGGUGUUUUUCAUGAAUUACUGUCGUUAUCCCUGUAUAAAAGAAUCCCAGUGCCGAUAUUGGGCAAGUUUACUGAAGAGUACAGGUUUUCAAAUGCAUUCUCGAGUGUGUUCACAAGGCAUUCAGGAAUCUUUUAUAUGUCACUGAAAGGCGGGAUUAAGACAGCAAUGUUGAGAGAAGCUUAUAAGGGUGAUGAGUUGAUUGAUAGAGACCCACUACUAGAAAUUAAUGAUAAUUUUAUUGAGUUAUUGGCUGAAGGUCAUGAGCAGAGGGAAGAACAGCUGAAACUUCAGAAAGAAGCAGUUCAAAACGAUAUGGAAAUGGUGGCAAUGAGAAACAAUCCUGAACUUACUGAAAGCGAAGAGCUUUAUAGCUCUUGAACUUGCUCUGUUGCCAGCAUUUGAAGCAUCAAAGCCAGUGGGAAUUCACAUAUUAUAUAGCAAUGUAUGAUAGAAGAAGUUUGGUGCUAUUGCAUUUGGGUGGCAAACCAUACUACACCAAACACGGUCUACUCAAUCUUCAUGCGAAGGGAAUGAAGGUGACACACUUCACUUCAAUAAUUACAAAUUUAUUCCUGUUUUCAGUUCUUUUUAACCUACCCAGAAAGGCUCCUACCUAAAGAACACACAAACUUUAUGAAUGAAUUUCUAUACAUAAAUGUGCAAUAUAUAUGAGCAAAGGCAAGGUAUUAUACAACGGUUGGUUUUUUCAUACUUAGGAAAGACUAUGGACACUUCCAAUGUUCUUAAAUGGGCAUCUUUCACGUUGUUUCUUGUAUUUCAUCCCCAGAUAGAACGCCCUCUAGUUGCCACGGUCCCAAUUCCCCCUUUUGCCCCUCGUCCACUCUGUAAUUUCCAGUUGGCCCUUGCAAAUCAAGCCUGUGCAUAUCUUCCGUCAUCACUAGUCUCGCCCCCACCUCCACCACCACCCUUUGCUGCGGUUUAUCCUACUCCACCACCUUCAUCUGAACAUCACGACCACAUACAUAGUCCCAGUCAUAGACAUAGGCAUAAACAUCAUCAUCAUUCACAUGGGCAUGAGCUUGAUGAUGGGCAUGGACACAAUGAAAGUCAUGUGGAUGGUCAUGGUCAUCAUAGACAUGAUCAUCACAAACAUAGUCAUA